Molecule: long non-coding RNA, 2862 nt
Filed under: Oncorhynchus mykiss (rainbow trout)
Lineage: Eukaryota; Metazoa; Chordata; Actinopteri; Salmoniformes; Salmonidae
Description: lncRNA (ENSOMYG00000061087.1)
Source: RNAcentral
AACACCUGUAAUUAUUGUCAGGUCAUGUCACACUGCUGUCUAAUUUGAAUUACCGUUACUGUGAUUGUUCUUAAUAGAAAUGUCAAAAAAUAUUUUUCUAAUUGCUCUCAGGGCCUUGAUAUAUCAAUGAAAUAUUUACAUUCCAUCUCCUUAAUAUAUCUGUAAUACAGGGAUACAACUUUCACUGGGGAUGGGGGGACAUGUCCCCCCCACAUUAUGAAAUAGCAUUUUUGUCCCCCCCCCAGUUUUAUCAUUGGAAUGUGAUACAAAACGAGGCAAACGGUGUGCUUUAGGACCAUGAGGACGCCUCCGAGCGGUUUGGCGUGUUUAUCCGACUGGAUAGAAAAUUUAAGUAAAAAAAAAAAAUUAUGUACCCCCCACUUCUAAAACCAGAGUUGCUAUAAUAUGUUGUCUGGCUUGACAGUAAACAACUGGCACCUAUCAUCAAGCAAUUCUGUUGUUAUAUAUUUACACUACCGUUCAAAAGUUUUAGGUCACUCAGAAAUGUCCUUGUUUUUUAAAGAAAAGCACAUUUUUUGUCUAUUAACUUCUUGGUGACAGGGGGCAGUAUUUUCACGUCCGGAUGAAAUGCAUGCCCAAAUUCAACUGCCUGCUACUCGUCCCCAGAAUAUAAGAUAUGCAUAUUAUUAGUAGAUUUGGAUAGAAAACACUCUGACGUUUCUAAAACUGUUUGAAUCACGUCUGUGAGUAUAACAGAACUUAUUUAGCAGGCGAAACCCAGAGGACAAACCAUUCAGAUGUAUUUUUUUUUGAGGUCACUCUCUUUUCAAUGAGUUUUCAUUGAAUCCAGAUUUCUAAGGGACCUUCUUGCAGUUCCUAUCGCUUCCACUGGAUGUCAGCAGUCUUUAGAAAUUGGUUGAGGUUAUUCCUUUGUGUAAUGAAGAAGUACGGCCAUCUUGAACGAGGGUCACUUGAAGUGUACUGUUGGAUAGAGGCACGUGACCAGAAAGCAUGCUUCAGUCUGUUAUCUUCCUGUAUUGAACACUAUCUAUGUGGUUAUGUUAGCAGAGCCGUAGGGACUCUAUCUAUGUGGUUAUGUUAGCAGGGUCAUAGGGGACUCUAUCUAUGUGGUUAUGUUAGCAGGGUCAUAGGGACACUAUCUAUGUGGUUAUGUUAGCAGGGUCAUAGGGAACUCUACCUAUGUGGUUAUGUUAGCAGGGUCGUAGGGGCCUCUAUCUAUGUGGUUAUGUUAGCAGAGCCAUAGGGACUCUAUCUAUGUGGUUAUGUUAGCAGGGUCAUAGGGGACUCUGUCUAUGUGGUUAUGUUAGCAGGGUCGUAUGGGGCUCUAUCUAUGUGGUUAUGUUAGCAGGGUCGUAGGGGACUCUAUCUAUGUGGUUAUGUUAGCAGGGUCGUAGGGGACUCUAUCUAUGUGGUUAUGUUAGCAGGGUCAUAGGGGACUCUAUCUAUGUGGUUAUGUUAGCAGGGUCGUAGGGGACUCUAUCUAUAUGGUUAUGUUAGCAGGGUCGUAGGGGACUCUACCUAUGUGGUUACGUUAGCAGGGUCGUAGGGACUCUAUCUAUAUGGUUAUGUUAGCAGAGCCGUAGGGACUCUAUCUAUAUGGUUAUGUUAGCAGGGUCGUAGGGGACUCUACCUAUGUGGUUACGUUAGCAGGGUCGUAGGGAUUCUAUCUAUAUGGUUAUGUUAGCAGAGCCGUAGGGGGCUCUAUCUAUGUGGUUAUGUUAGCAGGGUCGUAGGGGACUCUAUCUAUGUGGUUAUGUUAGCAGGGUCGUAGGGGACUCUACCUAUGUGGUUAUGUUAGCAGGGUUGUAGGGGGCUCUAUCUAUGUGGUUAUGUUAGCAGGGUCGUAGGGGACUCUAUCUAUGUGGCUAUGUUAGCAGGGUCGUAGGGGGCUCUAUCUAUGUGGUUAUGUUAGCAGGGUCGUAGGGGACUCUAUCUAUGUGGCUAUGUUAGCAGGGUCGUAGGGGACUCUAUCUAUGUGGUUAUGUUAGCAGGGUCGUAGGGGGCUCUAUCUAUGUGGUUAUGUUAGCAGGGUUGUAGGGGGCUCUAUCUAUGUGGUUAUGUUAACAGGGUCGUAGGGGACUCUAUCUAUGUGGCUAUGUUAGCAGGGUCGUAGGGGGCUCUAUCUAUGUGGUUAUGUUAGCAGGGUCGUAGGGGACUCUAUCUAUGUGGUUAUGUUAAUAGGGUCGUAGGGACUCUAUCUAUGUGGUUAUGUUAGCAGAGCCGUAGGGGCCUGUCUGGCUGCAAUUUGGGGUCAUAAAAAGCUAAUGGGCCUAACAUUCAACACUGGCUGACUGGAUGAAAAGCCAAAGCCCUCUGGCCUAUGGUCCAUUCACCAGAGUGGAUGGGUCAUGAUCAGGGGCUGGAGCAGGGGGUAGCAUAGGUAACCCUGGGUUGACCCAGGCCUGGAGUGUUGCAAGGUUUAGUUCCAACCAGGCACCGCACCUGACGCUCCUGAAAACUCUGGAGGUAACUCUCCAGAGGUAACUCUGGAGGGCUGGAUACUGUACAAGCACCAUCAUGUUUUAACCUGCUACAGCCUUCCCUAUCAUGAACCCUGCUGAAUCAGCAUGAUGCACUGUCCAUGGUGCUGACAGACUGCACUAGCCUUUUUCAGCAUGCAACUCUCUCUCAUAAAGAUCCCACUUGACACAGACUUCAAUUCAACUUCUAUUCCACCUUAGUUCAACCUAAUUUCAUUGAAAUGGUGGAAAGAACGUUGAUUCAACCACUGUGUGCCCAAUGGGAUAUUCUCACAGUGAAGACUAAUAAUAUACCUAGUAAAAUAGAUAUCAUCUCGAUUAAGCUAACUUGAAGAAGUAACUGUAAAACAGACUAGAUAUACAGAAAUGAGAACUAGGCAGCCUAAUGAAAACUCAGUGC